AAUAUACUCAAUAACUAAAAAAUCUGUAUGUUUCCUCCUGACCUAUAGAGUGAGGACUAUCAUGGUAGGAAGAAAGUGGAAUCCGUGGAGCUACCCUACCGAAAUGGCGGAUCAAAGCACCCUGUUUAUCGUGGAAUCACAGAGAUUAGAACUAAUAAAGCCUCGAAAGAGGCAAAGAGGAUAAUCUUCACUAUACUCCCAUUUACAUUACUUGUUUGUCUUACGUAGAAGACAGAUCAUGGAGCAUAGUAGCGGACUCUCGUAAACCAAGUCAGGUAGAGGCUACAUUUAGUUCCAGACAGACUUUUCGACAUUGUAGAUCAAUACAUACCCUGGCACUUAGUAUGCAACUGUUCAUCUGAGAAAUGAUUUUAUUUCUACAAGGAAACACCACCAUCAAGUAACUUUCAUGUGGAAAAGAGAGUUUUCUCUAUCUUGCUACAGAAUUACAUCAGUUAUCCAGAGUCAUGUCAUGUUUUUACUCUAAAAGGCAUGCAUUUCUCAAUAUGGUGGCAAAGAGAAAUGUCUUGGAACCCGUUCCAGAGACAAAGGAGAAAAAAUGGAUCUCAGAGGCUUUUUCCAGUUGGACUCCGCAGGCCCCUGUGGGCUGAGCACCUUGCUCUUGGACAGAUGCCCCCUGAGUCGCAACUCUGCCGUCAUGAGAUGUGUUCUAUGAUCUUGCAAGCCUCUUCAAAUGAGCUUUCCUACCCUGAUGAACAGCACUGACCAGGAAUUAAGAGAAUUCUUCUGUUUGUGUUUCUCAGCCUUUGUUUCUUCCUCUAGGAAAUAGGACCUCUGGGGGGAGCGGGGGGAGGGGGUUGGUCAAGUGCUAGGUGGUCCCUUGACCCUUUGUUUGGAGCAAGAACCAUUUCUCUUCAUCCAAAAUGAUGUGAUCCCAAUCAGGGAGACCAGUGAGAAGCCUCCACUGUCACGGAAAUUUCCUGGGCCUCAGUAUCUCUAUAGGAACACCAAGACCCAUUUCAGAGUCAUCCUUGAGGCCUUCACUUGUCUAAAACCUCAGCCUCUUGAGGCCCAGGCCAAGUGUCCUGUUCCAUGUCGUUUCGUCCUGUGUUUCACUUCCCGGAGCCUGUGGUUCUUAGAAUUGAUAAUAAAUGAAUUCCCAUUUAAUUCUAUUCCAAUUGUUUCCUCUGUGUUAAUUUGAGUUAAUUUGACCUCAGUUAAUUGGACCACCUCAGUUAACUGGUAGAUUGUGAGCUCCGUGGGGAAAGUUCUGGAAUCAUCUCUUGACAUCCCAGGUUUUCAGAUGCUAUGAAUUCAACACAAUAAUGAAAAUAAUAAAGACAAUAAUGACAACAAUAUCAAUGAUUAUAAUUUAGUGACAGAUAUUAUUUCCCAGGCAUUCUGUUGAACUCUUUAUGGUCUCUCAUUUAACAACCCAAUAAGGUAGAUACUACAAAGCUCAAUUUACAGAUGAGGAAACCAAGGUUCAAAGAUUAAGUAGCUUGCUGGAGCCCAGCUAUCAAUCAGAAGCUGGGAUUUUCACCCUUGCAGGCUGGACUCCAAAACUGUUUGCAUUACUGGCUGAUGGGUGGGGUCCGAGUGCUUCCCUCCCCCACCAAGUCCGCCAUCCUUCUUUGUGGUCGCGGCAUGAACGAGACACCAAAGUGACAUGCAGGGCCAAAUUUUAUUAAGACACACUACACAUAUCAUUUCCUGUUUCAUUACUGAAAGUCCCAUCAUCAAGGAUAAUCUCAUAGGAUUUCUAAUCCAAUAACACCCAUUUCACAAAACAAACCCAUUUUCGAGAUGGAAGGAGAGUCUUCUUGGUUUUGUUUUGAACAGUCUUCAUGACAAUGCCAGACAAUAGAUAAAAAGGUGUCUAGGGACCUGGAAUGAGCAGUCAUUCUUCCCUAAAUGGCAUCCUGGUCAGUCCCCUCCAACUCUCUACCCUCAUACUUCUCUCUAGCCACCAAUAGCCAAUAAGCAAAGGGGCCUGGAGACAGGUGAGUGGGGCAGAGGCUGAGCCUACCUCUGAACCUUCACCCUCCUCUGCCUCGAACUCUCACCUACAUAGGCCAAUGCCACUAUAAACAGUGAGGUUCAGUCCCUCUGCCAGGCAUCUGGAGGUGAGGGCAGGAAGAUACAAUUUCCUUUAAGGUUUCCUUUCCUUAUUUCAGACUCUCCUCCCCCUCCCCCUCCCCACCCUAUUGGCACGCGUGUGCACACACACACACACACACACACACAUAUGCAUUUUAAGAAGUAAUCAUCUCCCUGUAAGUCUCAGUAUCCAAUUCUGAGCAUCCUUUACCUUCAUCCAAAAUGGCAACCACCCAUUAUGGAUGGACUGAACAGAGAAACCAGGCCAGUCCCUGGGAAGGCAGGGCUUUUUCACAGUCUGCAGUCCCCACUGCUUUCUGGCAGUCUCAUUAGGAGCACCAGGGAGACAUAGGAAUUUGUGUGCUCUUAAAUGAGGCCCCUGCCAAGAGAGCUGGAGAUUCCCUUACUGCUUCCAUGCCCCUGCUAAGCCCUCCAGGGAGAGAGAGAUCUGGGGGCUCCAUAGCUGUCAUCACACCUCCUCUUGGCACUCUAAGUUGGCAGUCAGCAAGGGAAAUAAAUAGGAGGGAAAAAUAGUUUUCCAGUAUUUUCUCUCUUUUUUUUUUUUCACUUUUAUCUUCACAGCAGAAUUAUUUUUUCCCAACGGGAAUCUGAGAAGCACAAUGCCAUCUUUGUUUUAAUAAGACCUAGGGAAAUUCCACUGGCCUUUGUGGCUGGUGAUCUGGUCAGGAUCUGAGAGAGGACGACGGCUUCUUGGGCAUUCUGGUCGAUAAGGUCUUUAGGGGAGCACUGAGUGAACAACCAAGGAAGGGAGGGAUGGGAUGGUUUCUAUCAUCAGGUUGAGCUGUAAAAGAGCCGCAGGAUGACAGGUGGUGGCAGGGAUUCCAGUGGGGCCUGUGUACACAGUCGCUCCCUAGGGGAGUGUGCACCCCCAUGGGCUAGUUAGUUGUCACCCUGGCAGAAGUAAAGUUUGCAGCAUCACCAAGUGGGACAUUUGCCAGAGGUACAUACCAAAGCACUUGUAAAGUUGAGGUUGCUGGUCAAGUUCCAAGGGCCUCUUUUUAAGUAAGACUGGAUAGAGGGAGGGCAGCCAAGGGCAGCCCAAGGCCACCUCAUUGUCACUCCAAGGUUUGACCCACAGAGACAACAGAUUCAAGAGCGCAUCUAAUGUAAGGUCCUUGAUUCAUGCUCUUUAUUGGCUAGGAACGUUGGGCUCUUUCUUGCAGGAAGAAGGGUGAUCGGGUCAAGGAAGCCAUAAGA
This 3279-nucleotide long non-coding RNA is filed under the name Lynx canadensis (Canada lynx). Its description in RNAcentral is "lncRNA (ENSLCNG00005006518.1)". Lineage: Eukaryota; Metazoa; Chordata; Mammalia; Carnivora; Felidae. The record is from RNAcentral.